ACAAUAUUAACCUAUUUUCAAUUUGACCACAGACUUUAAGCAUUAACUAAAGUUUGACAAUAAACAAAGAGUAUUAUACAUUUACGUGUGUGACAAAUACAUGGCAGUACACAAACUGUCAUGUCAUUGGUAGGAAGCUUCCGAUUGUGAAAUGAAUGAACGAAAUGAAAUGAAAUGAAACCGUAAAUGAUUUAAUUAAAACAUAGUGUAUUCAGAUAAAGGAGGAGGAUGUAUUCGGAAGAAAAAUAUCAAAACAUUAUUCUGUUUAAAUAAUACAAAAGUUAAUUUUAUAUUUAAAUAUGGCCUAAUCAAACAAUUAUGUCUAGUCUGAGCGCAGUCUUAAAUAUAGAAAACUUUAAAAGAAAUAUUAUAGUAACUAAACAAAAAUAAAUACAAAGUAAUCUUGAA
This is a long non-coding RNA of Bombyx mori (domestic silkworm), 408 nucleotides long. RefSeq lists it as uncharacterized. The record is from RefSeq and is a predicted model, not a curated record. The transcript has 2 exons. Lineage: Eukaryota; Metazoa; Arthropoda; Insecta; Lepidoptera; Bombycidae.